RNAcentral lists this ribosomal RNA (587 nucleotides) under uncultured bacterium. Its description in RNAcentral is "bacterial SSU rRNA". It matches the Rfam family "Bacterial small subunit ribosomal RNA", at positions 338 to 916 of the family's 1533-position model. The record is from RNAcentral.
CCUACGGGAGGCAGCAGUGGGGAAUAUUGGACAAUGGGCGCAAGCCUGAUCCAGCCAUACCGCGUGGGUGAAGAAGGCCUUCGGGUUGUAAAGCCCUUUUGUUGGGAAAGAAAAGCAGUCGGUUAAUACCCGAUUGUUCUGACGGUACCCAAAGAAUAAGCACCGGCUAACUUCGUGCCAGCAGCCGCGGUAAUACGAAGGGUGCAAGCGUUACUCGGAAUUACUGGGCGUAAAGCGUGCGUAGGUGGUUGUUUAAGUCUGUCGUGAAAGCCCUGGGCUCAACCUGGGAAUUGCGAUGGAAACUGGGCGACUAGAGUGUGGCAGAGGAUAGUGGAAUUCCUGGUGUAGCAGUGAAAUGCGUAGAGAUCAGGAGGAACAUCCGUGGCGAAGGCGACUGUCUGGGCCAACACUGACACUGAGGCACGAAAGCGUGGGGAGCAAACAGGAUUAGAUACCCUGGUAGUCCACGCCCUAAACGAUGCGAACUGGAUGUUGGGUGCAAUUUGGCACGCAGUAUCGAAGCUAACGCGUUAAGUUCGCCGCCUGGGGAGUACGGUCGCAAGACUGAAACUCAAAGGAAUUGACGG